GACGCACGCUGGCGGCGUGCCUAAUACAUGCAAGUCGAACGCAGUGGGGACGGGUGAGUAACACGUGGGUAACCUGCCCAUCAGAGGGGAUAACACUUGGAAACAGGUGCUAAACCGAUACUGAUGGAUGGACCCGCGGUGCAUUAGCUAGUUGGUGAGGUCACGGCUCACCAAGGCCACGAUGCAUAGCCGACCUGAGAGGGUGAUCGGCAACCAUGGGACUGAGACACGGCCCAAACUGCUACGGGAGGCAGCAGUAGGGAAUCUGCGGCAAUGGAAGAAAGGCUGACCGAGAAACGCCGCGUGAGUGAAGAAGGUUUGCGGAGCGUAAAACUCUGUUGUUAGAGAAGCGGUAUCUAACCAGAAAGCCACGGCUAACUACGUGCCAGCAGCCGCGGUAAUUC
RNAcentral lists this ribosomal RNA (404 nucleotides) under uncultured bacterium. RNAcentral describes it as "partial 16S ribosomal RNA". It matches the Rfam family "Bacterial small subunit ribosomal RNA", at positions 28 to 526 of the family's 1533-position model. The record is from RNAcentral.